CCUACGGGGUGCAGCAGUGAGGAAUAUUGGUCAAUGGGCGCGAGCCUGAACCAGCCAAGUCGCGUGAAGGAUGACGGCCCUACGGGUUGUAAACUUCUUUUGUCAGGGAGCAAUUGGGUUCACGCGUGGGCUUAGCGAGAGUAACUGAAGAAAAAGCAUCGGCUAACUCCGUGCCAGCAGCCGCGGUAAUACGGAGGAUGCGAGCGUUAUCGGGAUUUAUGGGGUUAAAAGGGUGCGCAGGCGGAAGAUCAGUUCAGCGUGAAAAUUGAGAGGCUCAACCUCUUCGAGCCGUUGAAACUGGUUUUCUAGAGUGAGCGAGAAGUAUGCGGAAUGCGUGGUGUAGCGGUGAAAUGCAUAGAUAUCACGCAGAACUCCGAGUGCGAAGGCAGCAUACCGGCGCUCAACUGACGCUCAUGCACGAAAGUGUGGGUAUCGAACAGGAUUAGAUACCCCAGUAGUC
RNAcentral lists this ribosomal RNA (460 nucleotides) under uncultured bacterium. RNAcentral describes it as "partial 16S ribosomal RNA". It matches the Rfam family "Bacterial small subunit ribosomal RNA", at positions 338 to 795 of the family's 1533-position model. The record is from RNAcentral.